UCCAGACUCCUACGGGAGGCAGCAGUGGGGAAUAUUGCACAAUGGGGGAAACCCUGAUGCAGCGACGCCGCGUGAAGGACGAAGUAUUUCGGUACGUAAACUUCUAUCAGCAGGGAAGAAAAUGACGGUACCUGACCAAGAAGCCCCGGCUAACUACGUGCCAGCAGCCGCGGUAAUACGUAGGGGGCAAGCGUUAUCCGGAUUUACUGGGUGUAAAGGGAGCGUAGACGGCCAUGCAAGUCUGAUGUGAAAACCCGGGGCUCAACCCCGGGACUGCAUUGGAAACUGUGCAGCUCGAGUGCAGGAGAGGUAAGCGGAAUUCCUAGUGUAGCGGUGAAAUGCGUAGAUAUUAGGAGGAACACCAGUGGCGAAGGCGGCUUACUGGACUGUAACUGACGUUGAGGCUCGAAAGCGUGGGGAGCAAACAGGAUUAGAUACCCUAGUA
RNAcentral lists this ribosomal RNA (445 nucleotides) under uncultured bacterium. RNAcentral describes it as "bacterial SSU rRNA". It matches the Rfam family "Bacterial small subunit ribosomal RNA", at positions 330 to 792 of the family's 1533-position model. The record is from RNAcentral.